AGAGUUUGAUCAUGGCUCAGAAUCAACGCUGGCGGCGCGCUUAACACAUGCAAGUCGCACGAGAAAGCAGGAGCAAUCUUGUGAGUACAGUGGCGUACGGGUGAGUAACACGUGGAUCAUCUACCUUCUAGUGGGGCAUACCUCUGGGAAACCGGAGAUAAUUCCGCAUAAGCUCGUGAGAGGAAAGCAGCAAUGCGCUGGAAGAGGAGUCCGCGGCUGAUUAGCUAGAUGGCGGGGUAACGGCCCACCAUGGCGAAGAUCGGUAGCCGGCCUGAGAGGGCACACGGCCACACUGGCACUGAAACACGGGCCAGACUCCUACGGGAGGCAGCAGUGGGGAAUCUUGCACAAUGGAGGCAACUCUGAUGCAGCGACGCCGCGUGAGCGAUGAAGCCCUUCGGGGUGUAAAGCUCUUUCGACGGGAGAGAUGAUGACGGUACCCGGAGAAGAAGCUGCGGCUAACUACGUGCCAGCAGCCGCGGUAAUACGUAGGCAGCGAGCGUUGUUCGGAAUUACCGGGCGUAAAGAGUGUGUAGGCGGUGUUCCAAGUCUGGUGUGAAAUCUCCCGGCUUAACUGGGAGGGUGCGCCGGAAACUGGAAUGCUUCGAGGGUGGGAGAGGUAAGCGGAAUUCCUGGUGUAGCGGUGAAAUGCGUAGAUAUCAGGAGGAACACCUGUGGUGUAGACAGCUUACUGGACCACUUCUGACGCUGAGACACGAAAGCGUGGGUAGCAAACAGGAUUAGAUACCCUGGUAGUCCACGCCCUAAACCAUGCAUACUUGGUGUGAGCGAUUCAUUUCGUUCGUGCCGGAGCUAACGCGUUAAGUAUGCCGCCUGGGGAGUACGGUCGCAAGGCUGAACUCAAAGGAAUUGACGGGGCCCGCACAAGCGGUGGAGCAUGUGGUUCAAUUCGACGCAACGCGAAGAACCUUACCUGGGC
This 940-nucleotide ribosomal RNA is filed under the name uncultured bacterium. RNAcentral's name for it is "bacterial SSU rRNA". It matches the Rfam family "Bacterial small subunit ribosomal RNA", at positions 8 to 980 of the family's 1533-position model. The record is from RNAcentral.